Humulus lupulus (European hop) is the source of this 554-nucleotide long non-coding RNA. RefSeq lists it as uncharacterized. Lineage: Eukaryota; Viridiplantae; Streptophyta; Magnoliopsida; Rosales; Cannabaceae. The transcript is spliced from 3 exons. The record is from RefSeq and is a predicted model, not a curated record.
UCUCUGCAUUCUCUCUCAAGCCUUGGCCGACCAACCCAUCUCGUUCUUUGAAUUUUUUCACAACAAUCCUCACUUAAACUCUCAUCCUCUCAUCUCCUUCCUUCUAUACUCAUAACUCUAAGCCACUCAGUUCUAGUUUGAAGCUAAGGAAGUCUAUACAAGCUAGAUCAUCUAAAGGUAGAGAAAAUGAGUUAAUGUGCUGGAGGUCACACAAGUUCAAUCCAAGGUCUACAAGAGUUACAUUGUUGGCUAACAAGGCGGGAUUCUCCGUGGGAAGAUUGCCCGUGCACAACAAAUGAUAGCUUGUAAGUCAAUCUAUGAUUUAUGUGUCUGCAACAUGAUUUAACUAGUGUAUUGCUUGAUAAAAGUAGGACUUAUACGCUAGUUAGAGAGAGAUGGCUCAUUUGGAGACAGUAACUAGGGGUGCAUUGGUGGUCUGGGUUAUGCCUAAGACCUUUGAGAUAAGUAUACCGGAUAAACCUAGGAGUAUGAAUGAUCCUAGGGGUGCUUAUGCUCUACUAUGAUAUGAUAUUUUAAUCAGGUUUGUGACCAUG